RNAcentral lists this unclassified non-coding RNA (236 nucleotides) under Hevea brasiliensis (rubber tree). Lineage: Eukaryota; Viridiplantae; Streptophyta; Magnoliopsida; Malpighiales; Euphorbiaceae. The record is from RNAcentral.
UGCAGUUUUCUACUGACGAUGCGGCGUCCUCGAGCAACCUUUGACUCUGAGGUUCUUCUACACAAGGGCGGCACAUCUGCGGGCUGGAAUUAUCAUCGUCCAUGAGAAAUUGACCUCCGAGAUAGAAAGUUGCGAAAACCUAGUUUGGUGAAUUGGCCGGCGGGAGGAAGUGAUCGGAAAAGUGAUCAUUGACCAUGCGAAGGAAGUUGUUCGAGUACGUGGAAAUUUCUGAGACG